RNAcentral lists this long non-coding RNA (277 nucleotides) under Manihot esculenta (cassava). RNAcentral's name for it is "long non-coding RNA (MESC_LNC001901)". The record is from RNAcentral. Lineage: Eukaryota; Viridiplantae; Streptophyta; Magnoliopsida; Malpighiales; Euphorbiaceae.
AAUUUCAACGUAUUUGAAGAAUGAUCUAGCAGAAGAAGAGUAAACAAAAAUCCCAUAUAACUAGGUGAACAACUGCUGGGAGUCAGGCUACUAAACCCCAAAAUAGUUUUCGUUGUCCCACAAGCAAAUGUAAUUAAAGAAAAAUUAUGACUAUAAAUAAUCACCCCCAAAUCCAGAGCCUAACUAAACAGCUGCAGAACAGGUCAAACUUGAUUAAUACAGCUGUGAUAUGAGUCAGCAGGUACUGUUGAUGAUGAUUACUCGUUACACUAAUUAC